Long non-coding RNA from Dermacentor silvarum, 3739 nucleotides. RefSeq lists it as uncharacterized. The record is from RefSeq and is a predicted model, not a curated record. The transcript is spliced from 3 exons. NCBI's taxonomy places the organism in Eukaryota, Metazoa, Arthropoda, Arachnida, Ixodida, Ixodidae.
AAGCAAAAGUCGGCUACAAGCCUUCCUGACUCGGCUUGACCCAGCUUGACAAGGCUAGUGCUAAGUUAAGCUCCAAAUUAGACGUCUUCUGUAUAGCUUAUAUGUCUAGUCUUGAAGACUUCUGCUGUAAGACCUGGUGGAGACGUACAGGCUCUGGUACACGUUUUUAAAGUCAAUCUCCAAGUCUUGCAAGCAAAACUUGCGCACAUUUUACUACCAGCUUGCAACGAUUCCUUCGACAGCACCAUCAGUGGAAUGAUUACAUCGUUAUGGUAUCGUCAUAUAACAGCUUUCCGCACAAAACAGUGUAUUACCAGCGUACUGCAAGGUUUAUGCUCGAGUCGAUUUCGCAUAGGCCGCUAGUUAGACGGUUACAGCGCGCGUACCAAGUAUCAGCCAUUGAGGAAGGUACCUUCCUCCAUGGCCAAUUCAAACCUACCGCGUCAGCUCAAACUGAAAAGCCGCGCCAUAGUUUCGUGUGCCCGUGAUGGCAAUACAACAAAACCUUUCAAUAAAAUGUGUGCCGUUAUUACACAAUUCGUAAAAGCUUUAAUAAAACAUUUUGAACGAAGUUUCACAGGCUAGUAUAACAUGGUGCGGCACAACAGUUGGUGCGCUACUAUGGCUUGGCCGCUUCCAACGCUAGCUCCCGCGCCUGCCAUGCUGCCGUUGCCGUGCAUUGUCUCCGUUCGCGCUUGCAGUGUCGCGCAUGGCCGCGCGCCCGCACUUUGCAAAGGAUUCAACGGGUCGCUUUCGUGCGCACAUCGCAUUCUCUGUGUGUUCCUGCGUUGAGGGCUCAGCUUCGUUUUGGUGCUUUCAGACAUUCACGUACUAAUCACAGACAUGGGAAGACUAUAAAACGUCAAGAUGAAAGGCUCCUAGCAGCUCUCAGUGUUCCCAACGAAACUGGCAGAAUGGCAGUGGCUGAUUACAAGCUGCCUUUGGUGAACAAAAAAAAAAAACGUGACCACAUUAGAAUCCGAGCAGAGCUCCAAUCCUGCAUUCUGAUGACACCUUACACAACGGCUCUCUGUUAUGGGGAGCUGGUACUUAAGAAGCUUUACUGUGGGCAUCCUGCCCACUAUUUUCAGACUGUUUUGGUGGAAACUUAAGCUAGACUCUAGGCCAGCGGCGGAAAAAGAGCUUCAGGGACGUGCAUGUCUACAGUGUCAUGGAAGGUAAGAUUAGAGGGCUGCUGUUUGACUGGGCCUAGAGAUAAAGUGCAGUGACUCUUACUCACAAAAUACGUGCUAUUUUGAAUGAAAAAAAUUAAUAAAAACAUGAACACAUUUGAAAAAAAAUAUCCAUCCAGUGUAGCUAAGUCGGGUGGACAUUUUUUUCUUUUAUAAGCCUUCCUCCCCCUUGCAGUUCCAUAGAACUGAUGUUCCACAAAUUUUAUUUACGAGUUGCAAAUCUGUUCGUAUGCAGCAAUGGUUCGGAUAUCAGCCACAACUGCUGAUACCGUGUACACGUGCUACUUGCACUGUUUGACUAGAUGGUUUGGUAUUCCAGAAGCUAUUCAUAGCAAUACCACGUGGGAAAAUGUGAUGACCGAUGCCAUUCGCCAAGCAGCAACUGCCUGGUUGAAGAAUUGCAGUUUGCGAGCGGAUAAAAAGCCAGCACGUUACGUUAAGCUUAGUGUUCAGGUAAUUUCAUAUAGAAAUUUAAGAUAUACUUACGUUUUUAACUGAGUCAGCAUCAUGUAGCAUGUUUACAUCUCAUUAAAAUCGACUGUUGGUUCUAGAUCAGAAGUGCAUGGUAUGGGAUUAACAUUUUGUCUUGGCGUUCUAAACUCUACUUAUAUCAGUCUGUUCUCAAUCGCCAGAUAACUUCCAAUGACCAUCUAUGCAUGAUGUUGUGACAUCAUGCUUUAGUGUGGCCAUAGGGAAACUUGUAUACAUUCUGAAGAAUUUUACUUUAGGCAAUAAAUUCUGGGAACCCUAAGUAGAGUUGGCGUUCAGGGCCACUUGCUUACAUGAAGCAGUGUAAAAGAAAGAUAUAAAUAUUUACUUCCAGGCAGCAAAAGGACAUGGGAGAUGCUUUAGGUGAACGUGAAAAGGCAUUUUAAAUUAUAGAAUGAAUUAUACCUGUCUUCUGGCACUAUGCUUAUGCCUGCAGAUUUUAAGCAGUUUUUUAUGUGUUGUAUUUGUUUCUUUUAUGCCAUUGUUCAGUCUUGUGGGGACAGCCACUGAAAGGCCAGGCUUAAAACAAGUAUAACUAUGCAUCAUGAGUGAAUCAGUUCUAUAAUGUUUGAAAGUGGUGUGCGCAUUACAUGCCCUUAACAGUAGUCACCGAGAGAAAACAAAGUGUAUUCGCUAAUUUUUCUAAUAUGUAGAGAUUAUUUCUUAGUCAUGUUUAUGCUAAGCAUUUGGCUUUUACUGGCCUUACUAUAAGUGAGUGGUCUUUUUUCCCUUUUUUCGACUGGCGCAGAUGCAUCAAAGGAUACUGGGCCUGCCGCCAGCUGACAUGUCUUUCUUCCUCCUUAGUUCUGUUAAGAUAUGGGUUCAGUUUUUCUAGACAUGCAAUCCAUAAUAUAUGCAGUCUAGUCAAUCAGUGCACGACAUUACAUGCCAUUCAUUUCCUAUGUAUAUAUUUAGUCAGAAUCAAAGCAGGACAAGCACAUGUACAUAAUUUGCAAGAAUAAAAUUUUGUUUUUUGCUAAUUUUGCUGCCUCUUAAACAUUGUUAUGAAAUGCUGGCUACAGAAGAGGCAUUUUACAAGAUGUCUUUUCAAUGUGCCUCAUUCAAAACCUUUGUGUGCUGCAUGAAUUUUGCUUGUGUUAGCAGUAUACCCAAAUUAAUUGUGCGCUAAUGCAGAUCACUGGUACUGCUAUUGUUUUCUUGGAACCAGUGGUGCGAUUCAGGAUUUCUAGGAAAUGUACAUAUAUUGAAUGCGACUGGCUUUAACUUCAAAAUAAAAACACGCAAAGCUACUAAGCUGAAAAAAAAUCAGUAUUAUGUGCUAAAUGCAUGCUUUUCCAAAGGCAUAAAUAUUAAAGGCUGCAUAGAUUCCAUAGUUUGGUAAUGAAAUCUGUCAAGGUAUAAUAGUGAGAGCCCAUCUGUGACAUGCAAACAUGUAUACAUACAUAUGCCAACAAUGUCAUUUAUGCACUGAAAUAACAUUCUUCCGAAGUGAAUAGACUCGCAAGAACAUUAAUACACUUUGCAAGUGAACAGCACUGUAGAAAUUGCAUGUCGCACACGGCCUCUCAACAUUAUAUCUUCACAGAUUUUAUUACAAACUGUGAAAUCUAUGUGGCUCCUUUUAAUAUUUAUGCCUUUGCAAAAGCAUGCAUUUAGACCAUUAUACUGAACUUUUUCAGCUUAGUAGCUUUGGUGUGUUUUAGUUUUGAAGUUAAAGCCAGUCACAUUCAAUAUAUCUACAUUGGUUAGAAAUCCUGAAUCACAAGACUGGUUAGAAGAAAAGCAUAUCAGGACCAGCGAUCUGCAUUAGUGCAUGGUUAACAUAUGCAUUAUUUAACCUUUUUUUUGCAAGGUGGAUUGCAUAAUUUCUCCGGCAAGCAAAUUAAUCCUUUAUACGAAAGUUCUACAGAUAGUCUAACGAACAGCUUGCCAAGACUUCCCCAAGACGAAUACGGAGGGAGCAUUAGCUUGGCUUCAGGAGUGCUUGUGGAGUUCUAAGGCUACUACUCGGCUUGUAGAAGCCGGAUAGUAGACAACCUCUUGGCUUGAACAAGCCCAAAUGUAGACGUCUUCUAGAUGGGUUUGUGCUACCUGGG